RNAcentral lists this ribosomal RNA (253 nucleotides) under uncultured bacterium. RNAcentral's name for it is "partial 16S ribosomal RNA". It matches the Rfam family "Bacterial small subunit ribosomal RNA", at positions 524 to 776 of the family's 1533-position model. The record is from RNAcentral.
UACGGAGGGUGCAAGCGUUAUCCGGAUUUACUGGGUUUAAAGGGUGCGUAGGUGGGUUGGUAAGUCAGUGGUGAAAUACUUUCGCUUAACGAAGGAACUGCCAUUGAUACUACCAGUCUUGAAUACAGUGGAGGUAGGCGGAAUGCGUCAUGUAGCGGUGAAAUGCUUAGAUAUCGUCCAGAACACCGAUAGCGAAGGCAGCUUACUAAGGAGUAACUGACGCUGAGGCACGAAAGUGUGGGGAUCAAACAGG